This 1590-nucleotide ribosomal RNA is filed under the name metagenome. Its description in RNAcentral is "bacterial LSU rRNA". It matches the Rfam family "Bacterial large subunit ribosomal RNA", at positions 1311 to 2925 of the family's 2925-position model. The record is from RNAcentral.
GAGAGAGGAAGGUGGGAAUCCUUCCGGCCGAAUAUCUAAGGUUUCCAGAGUAAAGCUGAUCUGCUCUGGGUAAGUCGGGGCCUAAGGCGAGGUCGAAAGACGUAGUCGAUGGAUAACAGGUGAAAUUCCUGUACUAUCCUGUAACAGAACUGUGGGGACACAGGCAGAGAGCGUGAGCCGGGAAUGGAAAGACCGGUACAAGCGAGGUAGGAGAAGAGUUGGCAAAUCCGCUCUUUAAUCUGAAGACGUGAUGUGGACUGAAAAUAAGUAGGGAAGCACGUGAGCUGACUGUCAAGAAAAGCCGCUAUUGUUUGCAGGAUACCCGUACCGUAAACCGACACAGGUGGAUGAGGAGAGAAUCCUAAGGCCGACGGGAGAAGCAUUGUUAAGGAACUCGGCAAAAUGACUCCGUAACUUCGGGAGAAGGAGUGCCAGUAAGAUGGCCGCAGAGAAUUGGCCCAAGCAACUGUUUAGCAAAAACACAGGUCUAUGCAAAACCGAAAGGUGAGGUAUAUGGGCUGACGCCUGCCCGGUGCUGGAAGGUUAAGGGGAGAGGUUAGCGCAAGCGAAGCUUUGAACUUAAGCCCCAGUAAACGGCGGCCGUAACAAUAACGGUCCUAAGGUAGCGAAAUUCCUUGUCGGGUAAGUUCCGACCCGCACGAAAGGCGUAAUGAUUUGGGCACUGUCUCAACAAUGCACCCGGUGAAAUUGAAAUACCAGUGAAGAUGCUGGUUACCUGCGCCAGGACGGAAAGACCCCAUGGAGCUUUACUCCAGCUUGAUACUGGGAUUCGGUAUUGCAUGUACAGGAUAGGUGGGAGGCUAGGAAAUGGUAACGCCAGUUGCCAUGGAGCCAAUGUUGGGAUACCACCCUUGCAGUACUGGGUUUCUAACCAGCAGCCGUGAUCCGGCUGGGGGACAAUGUCAGGUGGGGAGUUUGACUGGGGCGGUCGCCUCCGAAAGGGUAUCGGAGGCGCUCAAAGGUUCCCUCAGAAUGGUUGGAAACCAUUCGAAGAGUGCAAAGGCAGAAGGGAGCUUGACUGCGACACCGACGGGUGGAGCAGGUACGAAAGUAGGACUUAGUGAUCCGGUGGUAUAAAGUGGGAUUGCCAUCGCUCAACGGAUAAAAGCUACCCUGGGAUAACAGGCUUAUCACUCCCAAGAGUUCACAUCGACGGAGUGGUUUGGCACCUCGAUGUCGGCUCAUCGCAUCCUGGGGCUGAAGUAGGUCCCAAGGGUUGGGCUGUUCGCCCAUUAAAGCGGUACGCGAGCUGGGUUCAGAACGUCGUGAGACAGUUCGGUCCCUAUCCGGCGUGGGCGUAAGAUAUUUGAGAGGAGCUGUCCUUAGUACGAGAGGACCGGGAUGGACUGGCCGCUGGUGUAUCUGUUGUCUUACCAAAGGCAUAGCAGAGUAGCCAAGCCGGGAAGGGAUAAACGCUGAAGGCAUCUAAGCGUGAAGCCCCCCUCAAGAUGAGAUAUCUCAUAACGUCAAGUUAGUAAGACCCCUUGAAGACGACGAGGUAGAUAGGGCAGAGGUGGAAGUGUGGUAACACAUGGAGCUGACUGUUACUAAUAGGUCGAGGGCAUAACC